Molecule: ribosomal RNA, 450 nt
Filed under: uncultured Thiomonas sp.
Lineage: Bacteria; Pseudomonadati; Pseudomonadota; Betaproteobacteria; Burkholderiales
Description: bacterial SSU rRNA
Rfam family: Bacterial small subunit ribosomal RNA
Source: RNAcentral
UGGAUGAUGUGGAUUAAUUCGAUGCAACGCGAAAACCUUACCUACCCUUGUACAGUGUCCGGAAUCCGAAGAGAUUUGGGAGUGCUCGCAAGAGAGCCGGAACACAGGUGCUGCAUGGCUGUCGUCAGCUCGUGUCGUGAGAUGUUGGGUUAAGUCCCGCAACGAGCGCAACCCUUGUCAUUAGUUGCCAGCAUUCAGUUGGGCACUCUAAGGUGACUGCCGGCUAAAAAGUCGGAGGAAGGUGGGAUGACGUCAAAUCAUCAUGCCCCUUAUGUUCUGGGCUACACACGUGCUACAAUGGCCGGUACAGACGGACGCAAAGCCGCGAGGUGGAGCAAAUCCUAAAAAGCCGGUCUCAGUUCGGAUUGCAGGCUGCAAUUCGCCUGCAUGAAGUCGGAAUCGCUAGUAAUCGCAGGUCAGCAUACUGCGGUGAAUACGUUCCCGGGCCUU